ACUAAUUCCUCACCAUGGGAAUUAGCUACCACCCCAAAUGGGCCACAACAUGCAUGCUAAUCACCUAGCAAUGCAACAUCAACAAAAUCAAGAAUAGACACAUGCUCACACUCUAAGCCACAAUACAGUCUAUUCACAAACGUAUACAUUCACAUCAUCAUGUAUACCAUCACACAUUAUCAACAUAAUUAAUCACAAAAGCA
Molecule: long non-coding RNA, 203 nt
Filed under: Lathyrus oleraceus (garden pea)
Lineage: Eukaryota; Viridiplantae; Streptophyta; Magnoliopsida; Fabales; Fabaceae
Description: Pisum sativum (pea) long non-coding RNA (PSAT_LNC027022)
Source: RNAcentral